Long non-coding RNA from Lactuca sativa (garden lettuce), 1975 nucleotides. RefSeq lists it as uncharacterized. The record is from RefSeq and is a predicted model, not a curated record. Lineage: Eukaryota; Viridiplantae; Streptophyta; Magnoliopsida; Asterales; Asteraceae.
ACCAAUUCCCCAUUCUUUAUCCCGUCUAACAACCUCCCCAAUGUGUCGCCAUUUCUUCCGCCCUACAAUCUACACCUCUUUAAUCUCCUUAGUCAUUUAUAUAACCAUCAUGCACUUUUCUCUACUGCCCACUCCUAUGCUCUGGUAUUCAGUCGUCGACCACUACCCACCUACCCUACACCUCCAACGUCGUCGACCACUCCCACCAUCUGCCAUCGUUACAACGACCUAAAUCGACACCACUCACCACCUCACUCAUGCUACAAAGAUAUAGUCGGUAUGCCUUCUUCCACCUUUAAUCAGUGAAGCUAUGACAUCUUACUUCUAGAUCUGUAAACCCUUGUCGCUCUCUCCCCACUAGUUCUUCUCUUUCGUUGUUUUUUUGAAAUCACAUUCGUAGAUAAGUCACGAAAAGAUAUGAAAUUCAAAUUUUAAAAUCCCUUAUCUCUGACCUAUAUAUCGUCUCCCUUCCCUAUAUCUCCCCUCCUUUGCUUUGUGAUCGUGAACAUGAAAACGGCCUUUGUAAUCUGAUGGUGGUGGUGUCGCCUUCAACCACCCACCACCAUGGGGUCAUCAGCGGAAUCACACAGUUCCAUUUAUAACCACUUUCCAGAUACUCUCUCUCUAUAUUUCUGUUUGAUUUAUUUCCCUUAAUGUUUUCAUUUUUAUAAUUCGAUUCUCUUCUCUAUUUGAGAAUUUGCUUUUUCAAAUUCCAUAUUUUAAUUGUAGAUUGGCAAUUUUAACUAGAAAUAUCACAAUAAACCAAUGAUAGCGGUAUGGAUCUAUGUUUAUUGGCUUCAAUUUUUCUUAUCUUUUAAUAUCCUGGUUUUCAAAACCCUAGAUCUUUUGCUCCGUGCAGUUUGUAACAUUUACAGACACAAGCUUCGUUUGCUUGCAACAAAAAUCAAACAAAAAGGUUAAAGUUUGGUGCUUGUCCAAACUAUUUUUUUUCUUUUUUUGAAUUAUUAUUGUCAAUUUGUGUGUGUUAGUGUCUGUUUAUUAAUGUGAUGUGUGUAUUUGUGUUGUGUGUGUGCUGGUGUCUGAAAAAAACUCACAUGUAGCUCCGUUAAGGCUUUAUUGGGAAGUGAUUUAUUUGUUUAUUUCAUAUAUCAUUAUUUUUUGGGAUUAUGGAUUUGAUUAAUGAACUUAUGAUAGUAUUGACAAUUGGCAGGGCAAUAUAGCGUGUCAUGUUUUCUCACAAGAUUUUUGUAAUAGCAAUAGAUUUGUAUGAAGAAGGAGAUGAGAUCAGCGAUACCUAUUAGAAAACACACCAAUUGAACCACUUACCACCACCAUUGCAGAAAACCCAUCACACCAGUCAAAAUGUCUAACUUUCUUAACUUCAGUUUUUUGACCUUUCAAGUUCCAUAGAUGUCAUUCUAACCUGUUCUAUGUGCAAUGACAAAUGUGUGGUCUCAAGAUGUUGAAUGGGAAAAUUAUGGUUAGAGUACAGUUUUGGAUGGAUACAAAUGGCAGAACAUGUGGUGAAACUAUAUACAGAAUCAACUGGUUGUUCUAUUGAAACUAAAGAAAGUGCAUUGGUAUGGCAGAAUUGGGAUGCAUAUCUGGGAUUUGGAUUUCCUCAAACAAAAGAGAUGUUGCAUCAUCUUCAAUGAGUCUUGGCAAAUGAACCUGUUGCUAUCAAAAGUGGUCAAUAUAUCAUUGAAGUCAAACACUAUGUUACCAAUUUCCCCAACGAUAGUGUACUCUAAACCCAUUAGUGCGACCCUAAUCAUCUCCUUUUACAUGGAUUGCAAUCCUAAGCUGAUGCGUCUUUUUGAUCCAACAGACAAAAAAUAACCACAAGACACAUGAAAUGAAUCAAUGGAUGCAAUUUCUCCCAAGAACUAUUUCAUGUAAAUGUAUAUGGUAAAAGAUAAAAUUUAGCAUUAACGAGUUCUUACCAUUCUUUCCCAUUUUCAUAUACAUAUUCAAAUAUGUCCAACUUUUAAAGAAAAGGUAUCCUCUUUGUCUC